GACGAACGCUGGCGGCGUGCUUAACACAUGCAAGUCGAACGGAAAGGCCCUGCUUUUGUGGGGUGCUCGAGUGGCGAACGGGUGAGUAACACGUGAGUAACCUGCCCUUGACUUUGGGAUAACUUCAGGAAACUGGGGCUAAUACCGGAUAGGAGCUCCUGCUGCAUGGUGGGGGUUGGAAAGUUUCGGCGGUUGGGGCUGGAUUCGCGGCUUAUCAGCUUGUUGGGGGGGUAGUGGCUUACCAAGGUUGUGACGGGUAGCCGGCCUGAGAGGGUGACCGGCCACAUUGGGACUGAGAUACGGCCCAGACUCCUACGGGAGGCAGCAGUGGGGAAUAUUGCACAAUGGGCGGAAGCCUGAUGCAGCAACGCCGCGUGCGGGAUGACGGCCUUCGGGUUGUAAACCGCUUUCGCCUGUGACGAAGCGUGAGUGACGGUAAUGGGUAAAGAAGCACCGGCUAACUACGUG
RNAcentral lists this ribosomal RNA (468 nucleotides) under uncultured bacterium. Its description in RNAcentral is "partial 16S ribosomal RNA". It matches the Rfam family "Bacterial small subunit ribosomal RNA", at positions 28 to 507 of the family's 1533-position model. The record is from RNAcentral.